This is a long non-coding RNA of Amphibalanus amphitrite, 532 nucleotides long. RefSeq lists it as uncharacterized. The record is from RefSeq and is a predicted model, not a curated record. The transcript has 2 exons. Lineage: Eukaryota; Metazoa; Arthropoda; Thecostraca; Balanomorpha; Balanidae.
CACACCUUGAGUGUGAGCUCUUUGAAACCCUAUAUGGACACGGACCAGGAGAAGUUGGACGCUUUUUAGAAUUUCUUCUCGUACCGCUAGUGUCAUGGGCGGAGGGGAGCGAGGCUGCCAUCUCCGAAGACAACACGCCUCUGAGUGUGCGCCUCCUAGUUUGAGCGGCAAUGUUCCCCGCGUUCAAUGAGAAAAUCCAAUGCCCCAGCGCUCAGAACUCCCAUCUAGUAUUGACGCAAGAGCUCUCCCAAAUGUCGACCGCAAAGUCGUUAAAAAAUAGUUGCGACGAUCGGCUCGACAAGCUGAAGACCCCGCCACUGAAUGCAUUUGAAACGACACCUGUACUCUCCCAUUGCCAGGCCCAAAGCCCAAAGACGUGUUGUUCAUAGGUGUUUUUCACAAUACUAGUGUUGCUGAUCGCGGAGGACCACUGUCCACUGCUCGUCCACCGUGGCGUUACUGCUGAUGAGGCUCAGAGCGCAUGUUUACUGUGAACAUUGAACAACCUGUUGAAAUAUAUACCUAAUGAAUA